CCUACAGCUUCGUAGUAGAUAUUUCACAACACUGUCGUAACAACUAGUUGACGACCCUUCCCCAUGCACUUCUGCGCGAGCCAUGUGCAUUUGUUUUCAAAGAAGCCGGCGAAUGCGUGGAGCCAUGUCCGAAGUAGAUGUUCAUAAAGUGUAGGCAAGGUUAUACAUUUUUAAAAGGGUGUAUUUGUAUUGCAAUAAACAUAAAUCCAUCCUUUUUUAUAGUUGACGGGGAGAAUUUAUAUCCUAGAUUAUAAUUGUUUUAUUUUAGGUUGAACAGAACAAUCAGUGUAAGAGGUUUGGCCAACAUAAUAAUCUAAAUAAACAAGAACCUGGAUUCGGGGAUUCAGUCUGUAUCUAGGGGACGAGACAGACGAACAGCAAAACACCAACGGGAAACAAAGGUGUUUAUAUGGUUGCAACCAAGCAAGCUAGAAACAUACAGGGCUCACAACAAAACGGUCGAGAAAACAAUUUUUACAGGGCUCACAACAAAAUGGUUGAGCAAACACAUUUGUACAGAGACUAUCAACAUCAAGAAUACCACGAAGACAAAGUUCACCCAAGGGUACUUUCAAUUUCAAAAGCAACACGGCCGAGUCGGCGUCUGAUUUGCAGUCUUCUUUUUCUUUCAGUUCACGCUAUUCCUGAAAAGCUUGCCCAACGUUUACUCGUGUCUGGCCUCUCUGCCGGUCAGUCUCCCUUUCCUGAAAAGCUUGCCCAACGUUUACUCGUGUCUGGCCUCUCUGUCGGUCAGUCUCCCUUUUCUCUUCUUCUGUUCCUCCGACAUUGGGUUUCUCUGUCUCUUUUUAGUCGGCUGAUCUAUGAUGAAUAUAACAAUCCCUUAGUUACUUGUGUUUAUAUCGAGCCGGUUCCGUGUUUGGGGGUCUGUGCUGUAAAGCAAUUCGUUACUGUAGUGACCCUUGCACAGAAGCAUACGGCCGACAUCUUUCUUUAUUCUGGGUGGAAAUAGUAACAUAGUUACGCCAUUAAAUGCGUUUAUGGAAACAUUUUUAGCGAGAAAUGUGCAUUUUACUUUCAUAAUGUUCGCUCGGUGAAUGUGAAGGAUGUUCGGUUUGAUAGUUAUGACGAAGAGUGAACGCUCCGUUCACUUGCAUGGACAGAGUCUCUGGUUGCUAAGCAACCUCAACGUCUUGGCGGACUAUUUCUCUCCUGAUCAACACUACGAAUGCUGGAAACACACCAGACACACCAUGUGAAGUUAUUUAACCCGAUUAUCGUUAUUUAUGAGUCCUUAGCCCAAGUGAAGGAGUUCAAGUACCUCGGGGUCUUGUUCGCGAGUGAGGGUACUAUGGAGCGUGAGAUUGGCCGGAGAAUCAGAGCAGCGGGGGCGGUAUUGCGUUCGCUUUACCGCACCGUUGUUACGAAAAGAGAGCUGAGCCGCAAGGCAAAGCUCUCGAUCUACCGGUCGAUCUUCGUUCCUAUCCUCACCUAUGGUCAUGAGGGUUGGGUGAUGACCGAAAGGACGAGAUCGCGGGUAAAAGCGGCCGAGAUGAGUUUUCUCAGAAGGGUGGCUGGCGUCGCAGGAUAGGGUGAGAAGCUCAGUCAUCCGUGAGGAACUCGGAUUAGAGCCGCUGCUCCUUUACUUAGAAAGGAGUCAGCUGAGGUGGUUCGGGCAUCUGGCAAGGAUGCCCACUGGGCGCCUCCCUUUGGAGGUGUUUCAGGCACGUCCAUUGGGGAGGAGACCUCGGGGAAGACCCAGGACUAGGUGGAGAGAUUAUAUCUCAACACUGGCCUGGGAACGCCCCGGGAUCCCCCCGUCAGAGCUGGUCAAUGUGGCCCGGGAAAGGGAAGUCUGGAGCCCCCUGCUUGAGCUGCUCCCCCCGCGACCCGACCCCGGAUAAACGGAUGACGAUGAGAUGAGAUGAGAUCGUUAUUUAUAUCCGAGAUUAUUUAAUCUAACCCGAUCUAAACUCUAUCAUGCACCCAAACAUGGCGGCGUUUGGGUUUCCUACCUCGGACUCUAGCGCAGCCACAGGCGCGUUGAACCAUUUUUGUGACACACAAUGAUCAAGCGUCAGGUUAGGCGCGUUACUCGCGUUAUCCAACGCGAGUAACGCGGUUGGUGUGGCCGUACCAUUAGUCGAUUGAUCCAUGAUGAAUGCAACAAUUGCCUCGCAACUGGCUGUUUAUAUCUAGCCGGUGCCAUGUUUGGGUGUGUGUCUGUGCCGUAAAGCAUUUUCGAAACUACAAUCUGACUACAUUUUCGAGGAUACUUCCGCUGCGUCACAUCCGGAUUGUGUCGGUCCGAACAGAUCAAGUUGCAUAUGCGCUUUUUCACUGGAGAGGCGACAUGGGUAAAUGACACACCCACCAAUCGACCCAGAAAUGGAUGCAGAACCAUCAGCAUAACUCUCAACCUGCAUACUUAAUGUAAUUUUGGCUAAAAAAGUUGCAUAGUGGGCCUUUAACUCAGCUCAGCUAAUUUGAUGAGUGAUUCGCUGCUCUGCAACGACACGAGAUGGCGUGUUAAUACAAGGCCGAACUAUGCUUGAAAGGAAGUGCAAAAUAAAAUGGCUGUCUGGUUCUAAACUAAAGCAGUGAAAUUAUAAAUGAUACAUUUGAACAGAUAAUA
Long non-coding RNA from Gadus morhua (Atlantic cod), 2593 nucleotides. The record is from Ensembl. Lineage: Eukaryota; Metazoa; Chordata; Actinopteri; Gadiformes; Gadidae.